This 73-nucleotide transfer RNA is filed under the name Stegodyphus mimosarum. It matches the Rfam family "tRNA". Rfam says of the family: Transfer RNA (tRNA) molecules are approximately 80 nucleotides in length. The record is from Rfam by way of RNAcentral. Lineage: Eukaryota; Metazoa; Arthropoda; Arachnida; Araneae; Eresidae.
GCCUUCGUGGUGUAGUGGUGAGCGCACUCGGCGUGUAUUUAAGAAGUCCGAGGUUCGAGUUCCGGCGAGGGCA